CGAAGCUGACGGUUACGCGCGUGAGGGAUGAAGGCCUCUGGGCUGUAAACUCUUUUAUCAAGGAAGAAGAUCUGACGGUACUUGAUGAAUAAGCCACGGCUAAUUCCGUGCCAGCAGCCGCGGUAAUACGGGAGUGGCAAGCGUUAUCCGGAAUUAUUGGGCGUAAAGCGUCCGCAGGCGGUCUUUUAAGUCUGUCGUCAAAGCGUGGAGCUUAACUCCAUUUCUGCGAUGGAAACUGGAAGACUAGAGUGUGGUAGGGGCAGAGGGAAUUCCCGGUGUAGCGGUGAAAUGCGUAGAUAUCGGGAAGAACACCAGUGGCGAAGGCGCUCUGCUGGGCCAUAACUGACGCUCAUGGACGAAAGCCAGGGGAGCGAAAGGGAUUAGAUACCCCUGUAGUCCUGGCCGUAAACGAUGAACACUAGGUGUCGGGGGAAUCGACCCCCUCGGUGUCGUAGCCAACGCGUUAAGUGUUCCGCCUGGGGAGUACGCACGCAAGUGUGAAACUCAAAGGAAUUGACGGGGGCCCGCACAAGCGGUGGAGCAUGUGGUUUAAUUCGAUGCAACGCGAAGAACCUUACCUGGCCUUGACAUAGUAAGAACUUUCCAGAGAUGGAUUGGUGCCUUCGGGAACUUACAUACAGGUGCUGCAUGGCUGUCGUCAGCUCGUGUCG
This 671-nucleotide ribosomal RNA is filed under the name uncultured bacterium. RNAcentral's name for it is "bacterial SSU rRNA". It matches the Rfam family "Bacterial small subunit ribosomal RNA", at positions 378 to 1067 of the family's 1533-position model. The record is from RNAcentral.